Molecule: transfer RNA, 67 nt
Filed under: Schistosoma mansoni
Lineage: Eukaryota; Metazoa; Platyhelminthes; Trematoda; Strigeidida; Schistosomatidae
Source: RNAcentral
CACUGGCCGAGUGGAUAACGCAAUGGCGUUUGGAGCGAACGGUACUGGGUUCGAGUCUCAGAGUGAA